This is a long non-coding RNA of Equus quagga, 7832 nucleotides long. RefSeq lists it as uncharacterized. NCBI's taxonomy places the organism in Eukaryota, Metazoa, Chordata, Mammalia, Perissodactyla, Equidae. The transcript has 2 exons. The record is from RefSeq and is a predicted model, not a curated record.
GGUAUUGCAAAACACAAAGCUAGAGGAUAUUUGGGAAAGACGGAAAAAAAAAAAGAAGGUUAUUCAUCCUUCCAUAUGGCUUUUUAAAGUCAUUUACAAUUAUGUGCCGUUUAUGGUAGUUUCUAUAAAUUUUUUUCCGUUGGGAAGGCAGAAGACUGAAUACGUUUGUGGAUGCAUCACAAGAGAGAAGAAAUUCAGAAUGACAAUGGAAUUUAGUUAAUUGUUUGAGGAUCUGCACGUGAUAAUGACACUGUUAACCAGGAGAAUGGAGAGUGUGAUCUCAUUUGUUUUUCCAGAGAGAGAUUUCAAGAACUUAACCAGAAAUUAAAGUUGCUAGUGAUAGUGUGAAACGUAAGCAAUAACAGUCCUACCGCAAUUACGCAUCUGAUUGGAAAGUACAGUAUAUCAGAUGUCUUAGAGCCUGUGUUUGUUCAUAUAUCUGGUGCCCAUGGAAAUGCACUUCAAGAGAAAGGAGAAGUGUGGAGCUUUCUCAAGAUGUAUGUAGAUAACUUUAUAUGAUACACAAUUUAAACCACGUGCCAUGCCACCAAUUCAUGUCCUUGGCCUCUUAUGAUUAAACCGUAAGGAGAUUUAUAGACAUUCGGGUCUAAAUGGGAUUCUUGGAGCUUUCAUACAUAGUCCAUUCCAUAGCUGCCAAGUAAAGACUUUCUUACACAAUUCCAGCAAAAUUGGAAGACAUUUUAAUUGUCGAAUUAUUCACAGAUCUUCACCAACAACCCCUCUCUCCCAGUACACCACCAUUUGACAAGUCCCAAUCUUGUAUCUUAUAGAUGGAAUUUUCAUAACCUUUCUACUAGGGCUGGCUUUCUGUUUUUUUUGGAAAUAAUUCUUGGAACCUCUCAAAAUUCUCUGUAGCUUCCUAAAAUUGAGAAGUCAAACCAUGGCACUUCCUCAAGAGCACUAACUUUGGACAUGGACAGACCCAAGGAGGAGUCUCAGCUUGGCCAGAUAGCUCUGAAUUUGGAGCCUCAAAAUUUCAAGAAAUUAAAUCUUCUCUGAAGAAGAGUGCCAUCUACAGAGGAAGGCACUCUUGGUGUUCCGUUUAGUGAAGUGCCACUCUGAUGCAGUAAACCACGUUCUGGAGGCUGGAAGUAGGGGAUCCUGCAUCUAAAGUGCACAGCCUUCCCAGGAUUAGUCUCUUGGCUGUCUCACUGUGCAGCUAGUAAUUCAGAGAUAAUCAUGUUACCAAGAUGCCAUUUAAUCUGCAUUUGGCAUAUCUCAAGUUUUCAUCUUCAUUAAUAGAGCCAUCAAAGUUUCAUUGGGUCUGACUGCUAUUGGACACACUAGUGAUUCACCCAGAGGGGGGGUUUGCAGUUUGCAUGGAGAGACUCUGCUUGCCAGAUGGCAGCUGUUAAUCUGCCUGCAUCAGGGGUGCGAGGGGGGCUAAGCUCCUUGGGCCCAUAGCCAAUGGGGCUAUCCCUCACCUCUGAUCACACAUCGUUGCCGGCACCAGGCUGGGGAUCCUGAGCCCCUCUGGCAGGGUCGAUCUCCACUCCCUGCAGGCUGGGGGGAAUGGAUGCCUGGUAAAGGGAAGGGAUGCUUUUUCUGGUCUUCUUACUGUGUCCCUGCUGCCUCUAGCAUAGGCCACUGAAUCAAAAGAUACCUGUGGAAGGCAGUUUUGCUCCAGUGGAAGGGCGCAAAGCUGGGAGUCAGAGUAAUUUGGCUUGGAAUCCCGACUCUAUGUGAAGUUGGGCAUAUCACUUAACCUCUUUUAGCUUCAGAUUCUCCUGUUUGCAUGAUAUGAAGCUGAUGCUGUGGCCAUGGUAGGUCCUCCAUAGAGUAGUCAGGGCAGGGGAGCCAGAUGGAGACCUAUCCAUCAGUCCCAUGUGGCGCUCUUGGGUGUAGAGCCCAGAGAAACUCUUAUACAGGUCCCUGAGGGGGCUGGAUAAGGAUGGCAUCACAGUAUUGUUUGUGGUAGUGAGGAUGGUGGCAGCCUAGGAGUUCCUCAGGUGGGAGAGAUGAUAGGAUGUUAGGGAGGCUUACCACGCAACACUGUGCAACAGUUUGAAGUAGUGUAGAGAAAUCUUAAAAACUGUGUUGGGAGAAAAAGAACAGAACAAAGUCUGUGGACAUCAUUUGUAUAAAUUAAAAAUACACACACAGAACAAGGAUAUACUAUGUGUUUCACGAGGAUACGUACACAUUCAAGGAUAUCAUCAAAGCUAAUAGUGCUGUUGCUUGUGGGCUGGGGACAAAAUGGGUGAAGGGAAAUGGGAUGAAAGGUGAUGAACAAAUGAGCGAAGGGCCUGUACAAACUUAAAAUGACAGCAUGCUAUGAGUACAGGAACAUGACUUAUCCAGUGUUCUGCCCCUGGAUCUGAAAGCAAAAGGAAAGAUCGAGAAAAAAGUCAUGGCCUCAAUUAAAAAAAAAAGCCACGGGGAGGUAGACGAUCUACUGAGAGUAGUGUUGUGGGGGCUUUAGGAUCAGGCGUAAGGACAGGUAACUGCGUGGCUGUGGAAUAGCUUUCCAUUGGGCCUCGCUCUCUCUCUUUUGGGAAGAAGUCUUAUGAAAAAUGUGAGACUGGAAUGAAGCAGAAUAGACUGGGAUACUCAUUUGCUCUUGUCUGAACUCUCAAUCAUCACAGACCCUCACUUCCUGAAGGCACGUCCCCAAUUUUUCCCAAUUCUUAUUGUAGACCCAAUUUUUGUCACUUGGUCCCUGUAGAGCUUUACAAAAGUGUGAUGCUCAUUCUUGUUAAACCAGUUGGGAAUUUCCUUGAUCCCCAACUCUUUGGCCCUGCACAGAAGUGUAGCUGCUCUUCCAGUAAAUGAGAGCUUUGCACACAGUAGGGCAGAAGGAUAUUACUGUGUGAGAAAGGACCACAGGGAAACUCCCAUCAUUUUCCUAGAAUCUGAGAAAAAAAAAUUACAAAUGUGUGAUGGGGCACACUCUGUGGUCUUCUUUUGUUAAUUUAUGAAUUGCAAGAGGAAGGUAGACUUAUUGGAAUAGUAUAAUUAAGUGUCACCGUGGUAUGGAUAGUAAUUACCACCAAGUAUAAUGAAGCAGGGAAAGAAACAAUGUCCCUCCUGGAUGGCAUCAUCCAUAUAAGCCUUGUCUUCUUCAAAGCUCUGUGUCCAUUUCCUUUAAAUACAGUAAAUAAGGCAGGCAUAAAUAAAGAACAAAAUCUGAAAAGGAGGAUGAAAUGAUCUAUAAUCUGCUUCCUUUCUUGGAAGCUAAACUUUUGAGAGAACAUUGGAGACAAAAAUCAGCAAGACCUCUCUGGGCUAAGAGAGGCUACUAUUGCGCCACACUUCUAUUCAUUACCACCAUCUCCGUCUCCUACUCUUUCUCCUCCUUUCCUCCCUUCCUCCUCCUCCUCCUUCUUGAUUGCCCAAUCAGAUGCCUUAUCCCUCGGAAGGCAGUGAUUAGUUCAAGGAUGGGUAUAUGACCCAGGCCAAGUCAAUUGAAGGCUUCCCUGGGACUUUGGUUGGUGAUAUAAAGAAAGAGGUGCUCCCAUUUCUAGGAGAGCCAUAUAUAAUCCAGUUACUGCUGAUGGAAAGAGCCUGACUGAGAAGGAAGCCAGUGAAGAGAAAAACAGAGCAGAGCAGGAGCAAUAGAGAUGGACGAGAUGCCAUUCCCUGAGCGCCUGCCUCCAGCCAUGCUUGAAACCAGAGGUCUCUGGACUCUUCACUUACAUGAACUAAUCAAGCACUAUUCUGGUUUUAGCUGGUUUGAGUUGACUUUUUAUCAUUUACAAACCAAAGAUUUCUGUGUAACGUGCCACGCAAGUAAGGCAGAUACUGCUGUACCAGGGAGCAUGUGCUCAUUUAUCAAACAUUUAGUGUAAGGUUACUUUAUGCCAGAAAAAGCCUUUCCACAGCAAAGUCACGUGACUCAUUGAGUCAUUUUCAAAGAAAAAGAGCAAAUCUAUGGGUAGUUCAAGAAUACCUGACAUAUCCUCGGGUAUCUGAAUAAGUUUGUGUGUGUGGACACGUGUAUGUGUCCAUUAACUUCAAUAACUAAAGAGUAAUAUGACCAUAUGUUGGGUUACCUGGAUCGCAUAAUAUAACUAGACGUGAUUCAUGAAUUCUUUGCGAGCACUUUCAUGUGCAUGAGGGCAUGAAGAACUAGUUUAUUGCUAAUAGGUUGAUGAGCUGUGUGACUUUAGGCAAUUGACUCAACUUCUCUGAGCUUUCAUCUGUAAAGUGCUGAUAGUAAUAGUCUCUACAUUAACCGAUUGUUGUGAGUAAGAAAUGAGCAAAUACGUGUAAAGUGCUUAGCACAGUGGCUGGCACAUAAUAAAAUCACUCAAUAAGUCAUAGCUUUAUUACCAUCAUCAUCAUCAUGAAGAAAGCUUCCCCAGUACUUUGAAUACUUUGCAUGCAUGUAGUGCUUUAUUUACGGUUUACCGUGUACUUUUGCAUACAUCAUCCAAUUUGAUAUGGUGGGUCUACAAUGCCUUGCAAUAGCCAUUUCCUAUUUUGGCUUCUUGCGAGAUGAUAAGGGCAGUUUUUUCCAAGGUUUCCGUGAUAUUUGGCACGAUAGACUGAACCUAGUAUCACAUUACGAGUGACGGAGAGGUGCAUUUGCUUCAGCAGAAGAGUUUUAAAAAAAGGAAACAUUUUUAGCACAAAUGUGGCCUGGUCCUGAGUAUCUUUAAUCAAGGCUGGAAGGUUAACUGCUCAAGAAAACUUGAGUUACAGCUGUUACGCUUGUGAACAGACCCAAUCAGGGGAGAUGAAAUGCUAUUUUGACGAGAGUGUCUUUCUUUUUCUUUUCCUUAAUACGUCACUGAUAUCAAAAAGAAACCUGAGGCAAACUCAUCUUUUUUGUCAUUGGUCAUUUCAAAUAGUCUUAAAGUUGGACUUCCUGAAAGACUUCGUGUGUUUCCUGUUACCAACAUAAGCAGAUUGUUGAAUUUGACACAUUGAAGUAUUUUCUUUGUUUAUGGAAUUUUUUCACAAAGGCAUGCUUUCAAAAUGCUAAAAUACAGAUCCAUAGUAAGAUCUUCUUUGCACAAGAAAAUAUUCUUCAAUUAAACAACUGGGUAAAAAUCCUCAAUUGUAUUGUUUAAGGGAAUGUUACACUUUUGAUUGUACACAAAUUUCUAGAAUAAGAAAAGGCCUUGAUUUACUCAUUCAGCAAAGUGUGCUAGUAAUUCUCUCUUUUAGUUUUGGAUCUGGAUGUUGUUUUAUCUAAUUCAGGGAAAACACAGCUUCUUUAUUAACCGUUAAGGGGACGGCGGUGGUCCAAAAGGAAAGAUUUGUACAUUUUUACUCGUAUAAAUUUUAAUAAUCUCUUGUACAAAAACCAAAAAUAAACCAAGAAGCAUAAAAACAAAGUUUUCUUGGGUAUUUAGAUGAUUUCCUCUUUGUCAGAGUCCCUGUGAGAAGCUGGAAGAAAUAUUGGGUUCUGAAUUUUUCUCCUCUGUGUAGGGUACUCCUGUAGCCCGUUACUAAGUGACUUCUGAUGUUGCAACACACACGCACGCACACACACACAAGCACACACACACACAGAGUCAAGAAGUGUUCUUCCUUUUGUGUCAUUGAUUUACUGAUCUAGUGCCUACCUACAUUCUUAGAGUAGCUUAUCAAGAGUGCUUAGUUCUCCCUUCUUCGUUGUCCAUCACACGAAGGCCAAAUUCUAGAUUUAUAUGUUGACACUCAUAAUUAUGGACACCAAUCAUUAUAUGAAGAUAAGCCAUAAUAUUUAGGUUUUUCAAAUACUGAACGCGUUUUAAAUGACAGGGAGCCAGAUUCUCCUAAUGCUUAAGCAAUUGCUUAAUAGUAAAUUAGCCACCCUUAGAAGCCGCAUUAAAAUACGCUGCGGAAAUUAUUUGGUAAUACACAGAAGAGGUCUGUUCGCAUUGGUGAAGAGUCUGUCCCAGAGAAAGGAGCUACAGCUUCGUAUUAUCAGUGAGCAAUUUAGCUACCUUACUGCCAUGUAUUCCAGAAGUGAUGCUCAAAUUUUAAAUGUAAACUUAGCAAAUACCACUCAUGUGUUUUGGGGAGAUGGUGCACGUUCAGCUCCAUAUUCCAUACACAAAGGGAACCUGGCUGUGCCUAGGUCUCAUUUAUCUAUGGGCGCACAUGAGGUCAAAUUAACAUUAAUAGUUCUUGAGAGCCACCCCUGGACACCAACAGGACCUCCUGUGCACGCCCCGCUCCCUUCCAUUGCUCCAUCUGGGCUCUGUUGGGCUCCACAGUUCUCCAGGGCUGCUCACCGUGGAAUCAGAGUUGCUGUGAGGUCUGUGCUAGAGUGUGUGUGGGAGGGCCUCUGUCUGUGUGUCACACUUCAUCACUUCAGCCUGGAGGCAGCACAAUUUGGACCUGAGUCUCACAGUGGCUUUCAUCAAAAUUGCUCCUUCGGCCUCAUCCUGCAGCGUCUCGAUAGAGUGUCAGACUGAGUUUCCGGCACUGCCCGGGAAACAGACAGCAUCCCCUUCCAUCUACCUGGCUUCCCACGUCUUUACGGAUGCCUAUGCUCCGAAGUUCUUCUCUUUCAGUCCCAACCUCCAACAAUGUUGGACAUGAACUCAUGCAAAUAAAUGAAUUCAAACAAAUGGGGAGCGAGGAAAGGAGUCUGUGGCCCCACGAGUCUCCGCACAUAUUUUGCUACCGUUAGUAUAUUUCAUUUUAAUGGAUCAUUUUAGAGAUGGCUUGAGCAUGGUGAUGAUUUGGUCUCAAAGGAUAAAUAGACCCAGAAGUUUAAUAAAAAUCUUCUUUUGUGAUUUUGUGGUUAUGACUGCGUUGGACUCUUAAGAAAUGUACUAUUACUAGAUGAUGGUACAGGUACAGAGAUCAUCACAGAAAGUGAAUAGGAAUUUAAAUAAAUUUGUGAAAGAUCAAAAUAACAAGCUUGCCGUGAUGAUUUUUCAGGGCAGAUCAGAGAUCGAAGAGACGUGGGAGUGUUCAGUAGUCAGUGACUUCUGCAUGAUAUUUGCAUAGAGAGAACUUUAAAAAGGUUACAUUUCUCUUCUACUUUCAUAUUUACUUCAUGUUAAGGUUAUAGGAUCUUGUUGGCAGUGUUGCCGAUGCUAUUUUUAUAAACUCCAACUCAGUGUUCAAAUGCAGUAGGAUGGAAAUUUUGAGCCUCAACAACAAUAAAUAUGUUUUAUGGGCCUGUAACAUUCAAGCUGUAGUAUGUCUCAGAGUCAGCGAAGGCUCUUUUCUGCCUAGAACUCUGAAGGGAGAAAGAAACUUUUGUUUAUAAAUUUCAGAGAUUUUUGUCUUUGCACUCAUCACGAAGCCAAACGGAGAUAUAAUCCACUUUAAACAGUUUUGGUCAAGUAUCAAAUAUGCCUGUUUUUUGAUAAGGGAAAAAAAAUCCCCUUUUGCCAAUGUAAGUUCUCCAGUCUGUGUUGCAGUGUAUGACUUCUGUCGGUCAAGCUGUGAUCUGUGCACUUAUGCAAUACUGAUCCUGAACAGGAAGUAAGGGGGAGAUAUGUAAUCUGGCACAUCUUUCUGAUCCACUUCAGUUAUGCCUGAUUCUGAAUCGACUUAUAGCAUUUAACAUAAAAAGACAGUUGUUUCUUAUAUUUUUUAUUCCUCCCUCCAAAAAAUGCAAAAUUUUUUAUGCUUAUCUAGGCAAAAUAGUCUGAGGUAUUCAAAAUCGAUCAAAGAUUAUUUAAUUUGUGCUGCAAUGUGUUCUAUAUCAGAUUCCUUUACAAAGAUAUUUGGUAACAGAACAAUUGUGUGGGUAUGUAUAAAUUUUUUGACUCUCUUAGAUGAGUGUACUAAAUACUUACAUGUGUGUACUAGACUAUAGGUGCCUUGAAGGGCAGGGCUGUGUUGUAUUGUUCAUUUUGUCAACCCCACAACACGUAGUGGAAGGCUCUAGAGAAAUAAAACACUGGUUUAUAAUUGUA